UGAAUACGAGACGCUAAGGCGUCGAAGUAGUGUAUGUCAUACUUCCAAGAAAAGCUUGCACUGUCAUAGAUAAAAAACGCCUGUACCAUAACCGACACAGGUGGUAGGUAGAGUAUACUAAGGGGCGCGAGAUAACUCUCUCUAAGGAACUCGGCAAAAUAACUCCGUAACUUCGGGAGAAGGAGUGCCUUAUUCGUAAGGUUGCAAUAACAAGAUCCAAGCAACUGUUUAUCAAAAACACAGGUCUCCGCUAAGUCGUAAGACGAUGUAUGGGGGCUGACGCCUGCCCAGUGCCAGAAGGUUAAAGAAGUUGGUUAGCAAUUGCGAAGCUGAUAACUGAAGCCCUGGUGAACGGCGGCCGUAACAAUAACGGUCCUAAGGUAGCGAAAUUCCUUGUCGGGUAAGUUCCGACCCGCACGAAAGGCGUAAUGAUUUGGAUACUGUCUCGGAGAGGGGCUCGGUGAAAUAGACUUGUCUGUGAAGAUGCGGACUACCUGCACCAGGACAGAAAGACCCUAUGAAGCUUUACUGUAACUUGAAAUUGAAAUUGGACUUUAUUCGCGCAGUAUAGGUGGGAGGCGUUGAUUAUAAUCUUGUGGGAUUAUUGGAGCCAUCAGUGAGAUACCACUCUUGUAAUGUUAGAUUUCUAACUUUGAAUCAUUAUCUGGUCAAAGAACAGUUUCAGGCGGGCAGUUUGACUGGGGCGGUCGCCUCCUAAACGGUAACGGAGGCGUACAAAGGUUUCCUCUGAACGGUUAGAAAUCGUAUCUAGAGUGUAAAGGCAUAAGGAAGCUUGACUGUGAGACCUACAAGUCGAGCAGGGACGAAAGUCGGUCUUAGUGAUCUGACGGUACUGAGUGGAAAGGCCGUCACUCAACGGAUAAAAGUUACUCUAAGGAUAACAGGCUGAUCUCCCCCAAGAGUUCACAUCGACGGGGAGGUUUGGCACCUCGAUGUCGGCUCAUCGCAUCCUGGGGCGGUAGUACGUCCCAAGGGUUGGGCUGUUCGCCCAUGAAAGCGGUACGCGAGCUGGGUUCAGAACGUCGUGAGACAGUUCGGUCCAUAUCCGGUGUAGGCGUUAGAAUAUUGAGAGGAGCCUUCUUUAGUACGAGAGGACCGAGAAGGACAUACCUCUGGUGUACCAGUUAUCGUGCCAACGGUAAACGCUGGGUAGCUAUGUAUGGAGUGGAUAACCGCUGAAAGCAUCUAAGUGGGAAGCCCACCUCAAGAUAAGUAUUCUCA
Molecule: ribosomal RNA, 1242 nt
Filed under: metagenome
Description: bacterial LSU rRNA
Rfam family: Bacterial large subunit ribosomal RNA
Source: RNAcentral